Molecule: ribosomal RNA, 253 nt
Filed under: uncultured bacterium
Lineage: Bacteria
Description: partial 16S ribosomal RNA
Rfam family: Bacterial small subunit ribosomal RNA
Source: RNAcentral
UACGUAGGGGGCUAGCGUUGUCCGGAAUCAUUGGGCGUAAAGAGCGUGUAGGCGGCCAAGCAGGUCUGCUGUGAAAACUCGAGGCUCAACCUCGAGACGUCGGUGGAAACCGUUUGGCUAGAGUCCGGAAGAGGAGAGUGGAAUUCCCGGUGUAGCGGUGAAAUGCGCAGAUAUCGGGAAGAACACCCGUGGCGAAGGCGGCUCUCUGGGACGGUACUGACGCUGAGACGCGAAAGCGUGGGGAGCGAACAGG